This is a long non-coding RNA of Capsicum annuum, 1018 nucleotides long. RefSeq lists it as uncharacterized. The record is from RefSeq and is a predicted model, not a curated record. Lineage: Eukaryota; Viridiplantae; Streptophyta; Magnoliopsida; Solanales; Solanaceae. The transcript has 4 exons.
GGUCAUUUUCAGAAGCUUCAGCCUUCAUCUCUUUUUCUUUCUCUGUGUUGCGACAACAACAACUAUGCGGUUUAAUUUUUUUGGGGCGAGUUAGUGAAGUAGAGAAAUAUUCUUGGCUAGAUGUAGAAGCUUGCAUCGAGAUGGAAUCCUUUUUCAAUUAAAAGUGGCGAUAACUUUUACGGAAGUUUAAGCAUUACUUUGAAGUUUAAACUUAGGAUUGAAAAUCCUCAAAGAUUAAAUCUUUGGAGUCAUUUGGAAUCCGCAAAUCUACUUUAUGUAUGAAGUCCUCGAGAGUUCCUAUUGUAAGAUAAAGGGGCAGCCCGUUGUAUAUUGCGGAAUCAAAAAUUGAGGAUCAGAUACAUCGAUGAGCAGAUUUCUAUACUAGGCACUUGUCCGUAUUCAGCAAAGCAGUCGAAGAAACCAAACAUGUAUAUUUACAAGAAAAGAAAAGAGACUGAAAUGGAAGGACAGUGAAAAAUUACAAGGCUAGAGAAUGAGUUGGCUCUAAUAUGCUAGCAGAUGAAUUACAUAUCCUUCCUUUAGCAUUUAAAAAUAAAUUUGUCAGGUGUUCUGGCAAUUGAUGUUUCUUUUCAAAUUUCAACUCAAUAAUCUUACAACUAUGAAAGGCUUAAAGGAUAUAUUCUUACAAACAAAUUGAGCAUAAAUGAAUUGCAAAGCGGACAAAGAGUAUUGUUUUAGCAACUACUUGCAACAGGAACAGUGACUAUGCCUCGAUUUCAAAAUUUUAUUUGGACGCAUAAGGGAGUUUCAACAGACUCCAGUUUAAUUUUAUAGUGAUAGCGUUCAAGUAGACAAUGUUGUAUCAGGCUGCCUUCACUUGGGAAUCUGAAACAAAAGCUCCAAAAAGUUAACUUUACAAUAGUUGUAGAAUAUACAAACUUACUUUAUUUUAUGAUUGUUUCUGAUAUAUUCUCGACUCUAGCCAAGUGCUAUGAAAUGGGGGUCUUUCCUUAUCAUGUGUAUCUGCUUGACUUUGUCCCGAAUCAAAGAGACAGCC